UACGAAGGGGGCUAGCGUUGUUCGGAAUCACUGGGCGUAAAGCGCACGUAGGCGGAUGUGCCAGUCAGGGGUGAAAUCCCGGAGCUCAACUUCGGAACUGCCUCUGAUACAGCACGUCUUGAGUCCGGAAGAGGUGGGUGGAAUUCCUAGUGUAGAGGUGAAAUUCGUAGAUAUCAGGAGGAACACCAAUAGCGAAGGCAGCUCGCUGGGACGUUACUGACACUGAGGCGCGAAAGCGUGGGGAGCGAACAGG
Molecule: ribosomal RNA, 253 nt
Filed under: uncultured bacterium
Lineage: Bacteria
Description: partial 16S ribosomal RNA
Rfam family: Bacterial small subunit ribosomal RNA
Source: RNAcentral